AUCCCAAUCUUAUCGAUCUUACGGCCUACAGUAGCCGGAUUCCCUUAUUGUCAUUUUCGCAAAACUCCACCAUCAAAUUAAUCCCCAGUUCGAGAAAUUACGUAAGCCAUUGUUAUUAUUAUUCUUCUCCAUUCACCUUAAGCCACCAAUCCCAUCUCGACAACGAGAUCCCAUUUCCCCAAUCACUUCAAUUAAAAAAUCUUGGCGUAGCUAUUUAAUUUGCUCACGUUAGUAAGAUGGAGUUAAAGAAAGUGUGUAAGAGACCCACACGGUGUUUACUAAGUCUUGUCUCCCUCUUUUACUCCCAUCCCCACCACAUGUAUCAUGAAAUGAUUAUACGAUGACGAUGAGAUGAGAUUAGAAACAACUCAAAACUCAAAAAGUGAACUUGUUGUAAUCAAACUGAUGGUUGGUUCAUGAUUCAUCUUCAUCUUCAAGAAGAGAUCCAACCACUUUUAUGUUCUGGCUUUCUUUUUCUUAUAUAAAAGUCAACUCGAACACUAAUUUGAUUUGGCUUCGAGUCCAAGCAAUGAUUAUCAAAUACCAAAGAUUUUCUACUGUUCUACAAAUAUAUAUGAGAGAUGGGAUAGAAGUGUCUGGAAGACAUUAAAAAGAAAGAAGCUGACAGAAGAGAGUGAGCAUAUGCAAGCAAUUGUAUAGAGAGGUAUACACUUGUUUCUAUGCGUGUGCUCACUUCUCUUGCUGUCAGCUCCUCUUACACCUGUGUAACAACUAUUACAGUAACCUACAUCACCUUUUUUCUCGUAUUUUAUGUGUUUUUAUAUUCAUGCUUUGUGUCUUCUAACGCGUUUCAUUGGAUAAGGGAGAAGCUAUAGAGUGACACCUGGACAGACCUGUCGAUGCCGACACUAUCAUCUACCGUCCACUUGCUACUCACCACCACUGUAUUCAAGAAAAAGCUGCAACUUCUGAUGACUGAUUAAGUGAUUAUACAUACACCUUAUCUCUAUGUCUCCUUCUCUCUCUACUUCUUUUUAUUUUUUUUUGACCUUUUCAUACUCUUGAUCUGUCUAUUACAAUAGUAGCUUGACCAGAUUCAGAUUUUAAGAAUGAAGAAGACGACCUUUGGAACAGCAGGUAGAGACUAGAUGUGUAUUGUGUGUACCUUCUUGUUAUUUUUUGUACUAUUUAUGAUGAUUGAUUUAUUUAAUGUGUUCUCUCCCUUUUAUCUAUGUAUUUACUUUUAUUAUUAUAAUAUUCAACUUUGGAGUUUGAAUCCUGUACUUGUUCUUGAUGAAGAGCAAGAAGAGGGUUUUUUCUUGAUAUCAUUAACAAGGUACGUACAUACCGUUCUUUUCGUAACUGCAGUUUAACCGUUUUCUUUAUUUUUCUUUCAAAGAAGUUGAAAACGUUCUAUAUGGUUUCUCCCAAAUCUACCUUUUUUCCAUCUUUUCGACGUUUCUUACUGAUUUGAACUCCAAAAUCCAUCUGGGUGUGUUUAAAUUUCGAUAGUCUGAUAGAAAAGACAGGUACUUUUAGAAAGAGAUGGGCUGAUUUAAGCAUGGUAUCAGAACAAGGGUUUCUUUGUAUACAGUAGCAACUAUUUGUAACAUACUGUGUGUUGUAUGUGUAGGUAUAUCAUAUGAAGCUUUUGUAAAAAAAAAAGAUUUUCAAAAUGGGAAACAUCACAUGACCCGGAUCCUUUUUCUGGAGUGGAAGAACGAUUGAGAUGGCGAAGGAUGCAUGCAAUCAAAUCUUGGAAAGUCUUUGGCUUUCUAUAUUAUAAGGAGACACCAAAUCAAAGACAAAUUUUCAGGAAGGGUUUAAGCAUACAAUACAAGUUCUUACCAAGGAUAUGGCUAGCUGCUUGGUGUUUUGGGGGCAAGACACAGCUCUUUCUUCUGGUGAAAUCUUGAUUACCAAGUUGCUAGUUAAAGAAUGAGUUCAAGUUCAAAUGCCACCGGCAUCAUAAUGGAAACUCCGGAUUCAAACAAAAACCAAGAAACAUCAAAGCUCCAAAAACAAGGUCCGCACUAAGGAGUCAUCCUGCAAUAAAAUAAGAACAAGGGAAGCCCAAAUAUACUUCAACAAUGAGUGCAUUUGGCUCAGGGCUUUCAACUCGGAAAAAGAAGCCGGAAUGGAAUAUGAUUCUGCAGCCCUUAAACUCCGGAAUAGCAAUUCCGCUUGUAAUUUCCCCAAGACAAACACAAAUCAUCCUUUCAAAAACUGUUGACGUUUGAAGCCAUGUUAAACAUGAUCAAAGACGGUUGGUACCCUACUAAACUGUCAAAUUACAUUAAUACCCAUGGGAAAGCCAAACAAGACUACAUUGUUGCUAGUUGCUACUCAAGACAUGCCACACGAAGGGCGUUUUCGGGAAAAAACUAUUUCAUAAGGAGCAUACUACGAGUGAUGUUGGGACACUGAACCUGCUUUUGAUUCCAAAACGAGUGGCUUUUGAAGUAUUUCCCUCAGAUUCCGGCGUCAUAGAAGUUGAGUUGACAUUCUGGGAUGGAUGGAAUGAUGAGGGUAUGGAGAUUCCGGUUCUGUGAUUGGAUAUGUAGCCAAAGUUUUGUUUUUCAUAAGACAAUGGAAUCGGUUUGUGAGGGUAAACUAUUUUGGGGUGUGCGAAUCCUUUGGAUUAUUUUGGUUUGAUUAAUUAGGUUUCAAAUCCUUUUGCUUUGUUGCGUUUUAUUGGACUUCUUAAUGGGGAUUCUAAGAUUGCUUAUAUUCCCUUUAUUAUGUGUCUUAUUAAAAGGGGGAAUACAAGUUGCUUUUACAAUGAGGGCGGUUUUAAAUUUUCAAUUAGAAAAGUUAAUUUCUAAUAA
Non-coding RNA from Lactuca sativa (garden lettuce), 2789 nucleotides. The record is from RefSeq and is a predicted model, not a curated record. NCBI's taxonomy places the organism in Eukaryota, Viridiplantae, Streptophyta, Magnoliopsida, Asterales, Asteraceae.